ACCCACAGAUUUUCAGUCCCUCCAGGAUUUCGUGGGACUUUUUUCAGAUUUUUGCGGCCUAAAAUUACCAAUUUUGCUGCGGCUUUUC
This is a long non-coding RNA of Sinocyclocheilus grahami, 88 nucleotides long. RefSeq lists it as uncharacterized. The record is from RefSeq and is a predicted model, not a curated record. Lineage: Eukaryota; Metazoa; Chordata; Actinopteri; Cypriniformes; Cyprinidae. The transcript is spliced from 3 exons.